UCCGAUGUGGUGUAGUGGUUAUCAUACUGCGCUUUCAAGAGAAUUCUUAAAGUGCCGCAGGGAUCGGGGUUCGAUUCCCCGCAUCGGAG
Non-coding RNA from Claviceps pusilla, 89 nucleotides. Lineage: Eukaryota; Fungi; Ascomycota; Sordariomycetes; Hypocreales; Clavicipitaceae. The record is from the annotation of a GenBank genome assembly.